This 120-nucleotide ribosomal RNA is filed under the name uncultured bacterium. Its description in RNAcentral is "partial 16S ribosomal RNA". It matches the Rfam family "Bacterial small subunit ribosomal RNA", at positions 28 to 156 of the family's 1533-position model. The record is from RNAcentral.
GAUGAACGCUGGCGGCGUGCUUAACACAUGCAAGUCACGGGGGCCCAGCAAUGGGCAACCGGCGAACGGGUGCGUAACACGUGAGCAACCUACCGAAAUGAGGGGGAUAGCCGGCCCAAC